UACGUAGGGCGCAAGCGUUAUCCGGAAUUAUUGGGCGUAAAGAGCUCGUAGGCGGUUUGUCGCGUCUGCCGUGAAAGUCCGGGGCUCAACUCCGGAUCUGCGGUGGGUACGGGCAGACUAGAGUGCUGUAGGGGAGACUGGAAUUCCUGGUGUAGCGGUGAAAUGCGCAGAUAUCAGGAGGAACACCGAUGGCGAAGGCAGGUCUCUGGGCAGUAACUGACGCUGAGGAGCGAAAGCAUGGGGAGCGAACAGG
This 253-nucleotide ribosomal RNA is filed under the name uncultured bacterium. Its description in RNAcentral is "partial 16S ribosomal RNA". It matches the Rfam family "Bacterial small subunit ribosomal RNA", at positions 524 to 776 of the family's 1533-position model. The record is from RNAcentral.